RNAcentral lists this ribosomal RNA (429 nucleotides) under Bacillota bacterium. Its description in RNAcentral is "Firmicutes bacterium partial 16S ribosomal RNA". It matches the Rfam family "Bacterial small subunit ribosomal RNA", at positions 355 to 776 of the family's 1533-position model. Lineage: Bacteria; Bacillati; Bacillota. The record is from RNAcentral.
UGGGGAAUUUUGGACAAUGGGCGAAAGCCUGAUCCAGCAAUGCCGCGUGUGUGAAGAAGGCCUUCGGGUUGUAAAGCACUUUUGUCCGGAAAGAAAUGGCUCUGGUUAAUACCUGGGGUCGAUGACGGUACCGGAAGAAUAAGGACCGGCUAACUACGUGCCAGCAGCCGCGGUAAUACGUAGGGUCCAAGCGUUAAUCGGAAUUACUGGGCGUAAAGCGUGCGCAGGCGGUUGUGCAAGACCGAUGUGAAAUCCCCGAGCUUAACUUGGGAAUUGCAUUGGUGACUGCACGGCUAGAGUGUGUCAGAGGGGAGUAGAAUUCCACGUGUAGCAGUGAAAUGCAUAGAGAUGUGGAGGAAUACCGAUGGCGAAGGCAGCCCCCUGGGAUAACACUGACGCUCAUGCACGAAAGCGUGGGGAGCAAACAGG